UAGGGAAUCUUCGGCAAUGGACGGAAGUCUGACCGAGCAACGCCGCGUGAGUGAAGAAGGUUUUCGGAUCGUAAAGCUCUGUUGUAAGAGAAGAACGAGUGUGAGAGUGGAAAGUUCACACUGUGACGGUAUCUUACCAGAAAGGGACGGCUAACUACGUGCCAGCAGCCGCGGUAAUACGUAGGUCCCGAGCGUUGUCCGGAUUUAUUGGGCGUAAAGCGAGCGCAGGCGGUUAGAUAAGUCUGAAGUUAAAGGCUGUGGCUUAACCAUAGUACGCUUUGGAAACUGUUUAACUUGAGUGCAAGAGGGGAGAGUGGAAUUCCAUGUGUAGCGGUGAAAUGCGUAGAUAUAUGGAGGAACACCGGUGGCGAAAGCGGCUCUCUGGCUUGUAACUGACGCUGAGGCUCGAAAGCGUGGGGAGCAAACAGGAUUAGAUACCCUGGUGGUCCACGCCGUAAACGAUGAGUGCUAGGUGUUAGACCCUUUCCGGGGUUUAGUGCCGCAGCUAACGCAUUAAGCACUCCGCCUGGGGAGUACGACCGCAAGGUUG
Molecule: ribosomal RNA, 550 nt
Filed under: uncultured bacterium
Lineage: Bacteria
Description: bacterial SSU rRNA
Rfam family: Bacterial small subunit ribosomal RNA
Source: RNAcentral